GACGAACGCUGGCGGCGUGCUUAACACAUGCAAGUCGAACGGAAAGGCCCUGCUUUUGUGGGGUGCUCGAGUGGCGAACGGGUGAGUAACACGUGAGUAACCUGCCCUUGACUUUGGGAUAACUUCAGGAAACUGGGGCUCAUACCGGAUAGGAGCUCCUGCUGCAUGGUGGGGGUUGGAAAGUUUCGGCGGUUGGGGAUGGACUCGCGGCUUAUCAGCUUGUUGGUGGGGUAGUGGCUUACCAAGGCUUUGACGGGUAGCCGGCCUGAGAGGGUGACCGGCCACAUUGGGACUGAGGGACGGCCCAGACUCGUACGGGAGGCAGUAGGGGGGAAUAUUGCACAAUGGGCGGAAGCCUGAUGCAGCAACGCCGCGUGCGGAAUGACGGCCUUCGGGGUGUAAACCGCUUUCGCCGGUGACGAAGCGUGAGUGACGGUAAUGGGUAAAGAAGCACCGGCUAACUACGUG
Molecule: ribosomal RNA, 468 nt
Filed under: uncultured bacterium
Lineage: Bacteria
Description: partial 16S ribosomal RNA
Rfam family: Bacterial small subunit ribosomal RNA
Source: RNAcentral